UAGGGAAUCUUCCGCAAUGGACGCAAGUCUGACGGAGCAACGCCGCGUGAGUGAAGAAGGAUUUCGGUUCGUAAAACUCUGUUGUUAGAGAAGAACAGCGCAUAGAGUAACUGUUAUGCGUGUGACGGUAUCUAACCAGAAAGCCACGGCUAACUACGUGCCAGCAGCCGCGGUAAUACGUAGGUGGCAAGCGUUGUCCGGAUUUAUUGGGCGUAAAGCGAGCGCAGACGGUCAAUUAAGUCUGAUGUGAAAGCCCCCGGCUCAACCGGGGAGGGUCAUUGGAAACUGGUUGACUUGAGUGCAGAAGAGGAGAGUGGAAUUCCAUGUGUAGCGGUGAAAUGCGUAGAUAUAUGGAGGAACACCAGUGGCGAAGGCGACUCUCUGGUCUGUAACUGACGCUGAGGCUCGAAAGCGUGGGUAGCAAACAGG
RNAcentral lists this ribosomal RNA (429 nucleotides) under Bacteroidota bacterium. RNAcentral's name for it is "Bacteroidetes bacterium partial 16S ribosomal RNA". It matches the Rfam family "Bacterial small subunit ribosomal RNA", at positions 355 to 776 of the family's 1533-position model. Lineage: Bacteria; Pseudomonadati; Bacteroidota. The record is from RNAcentral.